ACUUUAGUCGCUCAGUUGGUAGAGCGAUGGACAAUAGAUCCAUUGGUCGCUGGUUCAAAUCCGGCCUAGAAGA
This 73-nucleotide transfer RNA is filed under the name Cryptotermes secundus. Its description in RNAcentral is "tRNA-Tyr (ATA) (tRNA-Tyr-ATA-1-1)". It matches the Rfam family "tRNA". Rfam says of the family: Transfer RNA (tRNA) molecules are approximately 80 nucleotides in length. Lineage: Eukaryota; Metazoa; Arthropoda; Insecta; Blattodea; Kalotermitidae. The record is from RNAcentral.